This 1098-nucleotide ribosomal RNA is filed under the name uncultured organism. Its description in RNAcentral is "bacterial SSU rRNA". It matches the Rfam family "Bacterial small subunit ribosomal RNA", at positions 223 to 1325 of the family's 1533-position model. The record is from RNAcentral.
AGAUGGGCAUGCGUGUCAUUAGCUCGUUGGUGAAGUAACGGCUCACCAAGGCCACGAUGACUAGGGGGUCUGAGAGGAUGAUCCCCCACACUGGUACUGAGACACGGACCAGACUCCUACGGGAGGCAGCAGUGAGGAAUAUUGGGCAAAGGACGCAAGUCUGACCCAGCCAUGCCGCGUGCAGGAUGACUGCCCUAUGGGUUGUAAACUGCUUUUGUUUGGGAAGAAACCCCCGAUCGUGAUCGGGGCUGACGGUACCAUACGAAUAAGCAUCGGUUAACUCCGUGCCAGCAGCCGCGGUAAUACGGAGGAUGCAAGCGUUAUCCGGAUUCAUUGGGCUUAAAGGGUGCGCAGGCGGAAUAUUAAGUCAGUGGUGAAAUCCUGCAGCUUAACUGUAGAACUGCCAUUGAUACUGAUAUUCUUGAAUAUAGUUGAGGUGGGCGGAAUGUGUAAUGUAGCGGUGAAAUGCUUAGAUAUUACACAGAACACCAAUUGCGAAGGCAGCUCACUAAACUAAUAUUGACGCUGAGGCACGAAAGCGUGGGUAGCAAACAGGAUUAGAUACCCUGGUAGUCCACGCUGUAAACUAUGAUCACUCGCUGUUGGCAAUACAUCGUCAGCGGCUGAGCGAAAGCAUUAAGUGAUCCACCUGGGGAGUACGCUCGCAAGAUUGAAACUCAAAGGAAUUGACGGGGGCCCGCACAAGCGGAGGAACAUAUGGUUUAAUUCGAUGAUACGCGAGGAACCUUACCUGGGCUUAAAUGCAGAGCGACGUCCGCCGAAAGGUGGAUUCCUUCGGGCGAUCUGCAAGGUGCUGCAUGGUUGUCGUCAGCUCGUGCCGUGAGGUGUCGGGUUAAGUCCCAUAACGAGCGCAACCCUUAUCGUUAGUUGCCAGCGGGUAAUGCCGGGGACUCUAACGAAACUGCCGGUGUAAACCGUGAGGAAGGUGGGGAUGACGUCAAAUCAGCACGGCCCUUAUGUCCAGGGCUACACACGUGUUACAAUGGUCGGUACAGAGGGCAGCUACCACGCAAGUGGAUGCUAAUCUCGCAUACCGGUCUCAGUUCGGAUUGUAGUCUGCAACUCGACUUCAUGAAG